RNAcentral lists this non-coding RNA (28 nucleotides) under Bombyx mori (domestic silkworm). The record is from RNAcentral. Lineage: Eukaryota; Metazoa; Arthropoda; Insecta; Lepidoptera; Bombycidae.
UCACUGCUGAGUCCGUGCUGAGGCUCGC